UGUCACCAUUACUAGAGGUGAAAUGAUAAUUGCAGCCCUGUGGGGAGGUGAGGUCACAGGAUCACAAAGCAUAUCUCUCAGACCUGCCUGCCCCCUCCCACACACUCACUGGCUGUGCUGACCUGAUUGUGACGCCUGAGCCCAUCAGCACUGGAAGAAACUCAGGGGAGUAUUUUAUAUUUUGGUCUGUGAGGCAUAGUCUGCGAGGGAAGUGAGUGUAUUAGGAGCUGGGGUAAGUGUUCUAGUCUGAAAAAGGGAUUCUUUAAGGCUGGAAACUGAGCCAGUACAAGAUUCAUGCAAAGAGGAGGAAAUGACUGAGUUAUGGGUUGAACUUAUGGAAAGGAUACAGGUCAAAACCAUAGACCAGUCCCUAACUGUUUCUAAUUUAAUUUAAUGUAAUCCUCAUUGUUCAUCAUUGUUGAUUUUGAUAAAGGCAUAGAUUCCUGGAUUUUUUGAGGUUUUCUAGUAUAAUUUCAGAAUUAAUUUCCCAGAUGCUCUACAUUCCCUAUAGGAGUCAGGGACACCAUUUCUAGGAAGGAUAGAGGUGUUUCUACAAUGCCUUCAUGGCUGUGAUAAUGGAUAAGAUAUGGCUGAUUCAAUUACUUUAUUCUGUCUAGAAAUAGUAAAUAUGGGGUUUUGCCAAUUCUAGGGAUAUUAAUAUUCCUAAUGGAGACCGUAACUUUGUGGUGACAGAGAACACAUGUUGUCCAUCAUUGUGGCAUAUGACUGUUUUUCUUCACGAAGUCAACGGGAAAGAGGUUUAACCACCACUAUGAUCACUCACAUAGGAGAGAGUGUGUGAACCCCAGACCCAGACCCUGCCCUCAUAGGACUUAUCACAUGGCAAGAACAGUAGGUACAGAUUGAAUAUUGAAAAUGCUUUCAUAAAUUCCAUUUCAUUAAUUACUUCAGUGCUAAAGCUUUAAGGUAAGAACUAUUUUAAAACUGGACCUCAACAAAUUGGGGAAUAAGGGAGCUUAUAAGAGUGUGUGACUUUAAACUAAUUAAUUUAAAAUGCCCUGAAAUUAUCUGGGCACAGAAGCAUAAUAAGGGCUUAACAAAAUGGCAACAAUGGGUAUUAUCCUAUCAUACAAGUGGGAAGAAAAAGCAGUAACUCCACAGCAAGUGGUCCAGGACAGAGCUUGAGGGAAAUAAUGUAUCAGACACUGCAUGAUAUCAAAGACCAGGUUUUGUCAUUUUACCUCAAAUCACAAAAAGAAAGUUAGUCAUUUGAAAUAUGUAAAUUUUUUUGUGGAAGGAGAGUAGUAUAUUUUUUCUAAUAUUUUCAGGUAAAAAUGUACAGAAAAACCUGGUUGGGGCAAAGUGGGCACAAGAAUCUUGUUAAUCGGUCUUAGUGAGAAUUUAAUUGACGGCUAAUAAAUAGGAGACUCAUACAAGAAAGAAACUGCUUUCUAGAAACCUUUGAGAGUGAACUAUUUUGUGUCAAGCAAUGAUCUAAAUUAGCCUGUUCUGAAGAGAGAGACUGGAUGUAUCCCACCUCCUGAAUUUUGGAAAGUGAACCUGUGGUGGAACCUGACCAUGGAGGAGCUGAGGACAACGCCUCUGGGCACGAAGGUCAUGGUCCCAUUUUUAUAGAGUGAGAACUGCUGGUUUGAAAUAGUCAAGGCAGAAUUUUUGAGAGUAUUAUAAAAUAAACUUGGCAAUUCUUUCACCAAAGUGAAAAAUUAAACCAACUCUUUGUGGUUAUCAUUAGAUAACACAGAUGAAAUUUAUUAAUUAUUCAAAAAUUCCAACCAUACAAUAAACAAAAUUGACUUAAUUGACAAAAAUUGAACCUGGGCUUUAUACCACAUUUUUCAGCUAUUUGGAUCAAUUUAAAUAAUUUGAACUCAAGAAAUAUUUUAACAAAUAUAAAAUAUUUUACUCAAAGAGGUUAUCUUUGGCACCCUUUAGGUUAUAAUAUUUUCUAAAUAGUAUAUUAAAGUUUUUUAAAUAUUAAAACUAAUAGUAAGCCAUAUUACUAAUAAAUAUUGAUAUUGUUUAGACUAAAAGACAAUGGAGAUCUCCAUAUCCAAGUUGCUUACUGUGUUUGAUUCAAGAGUAUUUAGGUGAAAUAACACAGCUGAAAACUCAAUUCCCAGAAUAGGAGAUGCCUGACAAUAUGUGUGCUAGAUGUCAGUCUCUGGAAUUCACAACAGUAAGCAUAGGCUAAAUGCAAGGAAUGUGCAAUAGGAAACUAUAAUGUAGGCAAUGAAAUAUAGAAUAAUUAUUACAUGGAAUAUAAUAAAUAAGGAUAAAAUUAAUAAUAAAAUUACAGAUCCAAUGCCAUGUUAAGAAAAAUGUGAAAAGACACACUCAAAUAUUAUUAAUAAUUGACAGUAUGAAAACUGGUGAUGGAGUUUUUAAACCCAUACAGACAAAUAUAAACAACUGUAUGGUAAUAAAUAAUAAAUUAGAAAACUGAGAGGAAAAGUUAUAUUUAUAAAGUAUUGGCUACCAAAUAUGAAGUAAAAAGAUAAUUAGAAACUUUAAAAAAAUAAAUUUUAAGUAUCUAGAAUCAUUACCCAAAAAUUCCAAUUGUUUUAAAUUAUCCUUUCCCCAUAAUUUUAAGGUUCAGGUAUUUCUCUUUGAAACCUAUUUUAUUAAACAGGAAAAAAGAAAGGCCAUGGAAACCUUUUCUGUGGAUAUUACUUACAUUAUACCAAAAAUUGAAAAAAGCCAACAUAAAUUAUGAAUUGAACAUAAAAUUAAUGUAUAGGUAUAUAAAAAGACCACAAAUAAUUCACUUCAGAAAUGCAAGAUCAAACAAUGAUAGAAUCAAGUUAUAUUAUUCAAUCCCAUCAAAAAGUGAGGAAACCCUCAUCAAAAGGCUCAAAACAACAAAUACUGACGAGGAUGUGGAGAGAUAGGAACACUCUUACACCACUGGUGGGACUACAAAUUAGU
Non-coding RNA from Microcebus murinus (gray mouse lemur), 2907 nucleotides. Lineage: Eukaryota; Metazoa; Chordata; Mammalia; Primates; Cheirogaleidae. The record is from RefSeq and is a predicted model, not a curated record.